This is a non-coding RNA of Caenorhabditis elegans, 21 nucleotides long. NCBI's taxonomy places the organism in Eukaryota, Metazoa, Nematoda, Chromadorea, Rhabditida, Rhabditidae. The record is from Ensembl.
UUUUGGAAUUUUUCGUGACAA